RNAcentral lists this long non-coding RNA (985 nucleotides) under Pan troglodytes (chimpanzee). Its description in RNAcentral is "lincRNA". The stretch from base 54 to 124 matches the Rfam family "mir-137 microRNA precursor family". The record is from RNAcentral. Lineage: Eukaryota; Metazoa; Chordata; Mammalia; Primates; Hominidae.
AGUAGCAGCGGCAGCGGUAGCAGCGGCAGCGGCAGCUUGGUCCUCUGACUCUCUUCGGUGACGGGUAUUCUUGGGUGGAUAAUACGGAUUACGUUGUUAUUGCUUAAGAAUACGCGUAGUCGAGGAGAGUACCAGCGGCAGGGGGGCAGCGGCCGCCCUCCCCAGCCCACCAGCUGGCCACUAAACGCCCGUGGUUGCCAAGCGAAGGGGAAGCCACCGCCACCACACCCCUCAAGCAUGCCCGGGCACUCCUGGGGACAAUCGGACGUGGCAGGAGUUGGCAUGCCCAAGAUGAAGCUGGGAAGGAUGACCCAGAGUGGAAGGCGUGGGCUGGGGCUCCAGGUCUCAGCUCUCGCCAGCGUCGGACCACACAGCUUUGCCAGCUUUGCACCUUGCCUUUCCUUCUUGUGAGGCAUCUGGGACCGUCCUAUCAAGGCGCUUCAAAGGUGGAAGGACAGAGUGCUGGGGACAAGAACGUACCAGGCGCCCAGAAGAUUCCACUAGCGCGGCCAAACACUAAGACCAGGUUUCCUCCCUGCGUGGUGGUCGUUGGUUGUGCACGGGCUGCGCAGGAAGACUGAAUUCCUGAGAAAUGGAAACUGCAUGAGAAAAAUCAAAUAAACUUAGAGGCCUGUGAAGCUCUCCCUCUUGUCGCUCUGGGACCGCUCUAAGCUGAGCUACAUCUCAGAUACCUUCUCCCCCUGGAGGAUGGGCCUUUCUCAGGCACGAAGUGCGUGUGCCCCACUGGGCUCUUGCCCACAAGAGCAGUCUGAACCCUGGAGAGGCUGACACCGAGGUGUCUUGAAGGAAGCAGGCACACUCUCAUGCUUCCCCACCUAGGGUUUUGCCUUUCUUCUAAUAUUUAGGAUUCCCAGUGAAGGGUACUCCACACACACCCUCUCCCUACCCCUAAUCCCACCCCAUUGUGUCUGAUCCCACAAUUACUCCCAGGGUAUCUAUACUCAACAGCUUUUGCGCUCAAAGA